This 323-nucleotide ribosomal RNA is filed under the name uncultured eukaryote. Its description in RNAcentral is "partial 18S ribosomal RNA". It matches the Rfam family "Eukaryotic small subunit ribosomal RNA", at positions 1470 to 1796 of the family's 1831-position model. The record is from RNAcentral.
CCCUUAGAUGUUCUGGGCCGCACGCGCGCUACACUGACGAUGGCAACGAGUUUUUCCUUCGCCGAAAGGUGUGGGUAAUCUUUUGAAACAUCGUCGUGCUGGGGAUAGAUCAUUGCAAUUUUUGAUCUUGAACGAGGAAUUCCUAGUAGACGUAGUUCAUCAGACUGCAUCGAUUACGUCCCUGCCCUUUGUACACACCGCCCGUCGCUCCUACCGAUUGAAUGCUCAGGUGAGCCAUUCGGACUUUCAUCAUGCUGGUUUCCAGUUUUGAUGAAGGAAAGUCUUGCGAACCUUAUCAUUUAGAGGAAGGAGAAGUCGUAACA